CCAUCGGUGGUUCAGUGGUAGAAUGCUUGCCUGCCACGCGGGCGGCCCGGGUUCGAUUACCGGCCGACGCA
This 71-nucleotide transfer RNA is filed under the name Cordylochernes scorpioides. RNAcentral's name for it is "tRNA-Gly". It matches the Rfam family "tRNA". Rfam says of the family: Transfer RNA (tRNA) molecules are approximately 80 nucleotides in length. Lineage: Eukaryota; Metazoa; Arthropoda; Arachnida; Pseudoscorpiones; Chernetidae. The record is from RNAcentral.